Molecule: ribosomal RNA, 429 nt
Filed under: Acidobacteriota bacterium
Lineage: Bacteria; Pseudomonadati; Acidobacteriota
Description: Acidobacteria bacterium partial 16S ribosomal RNA
Rfam family: Bacterial small subunit ribosomal RNA
Source: RNAcentral
UGGGGAAUUUUGGACAAUGGGGGAAACCCUGAUCCAGCCAUCCCGCGUGUGCGAUGAAGGCCUUCGGGUUGUAAAGCACUUUUGGCAGGAAAGAAACGUCAUGGGUUAAUACCCCGUGAAACUGACGGUACCUGCAGAAUAAGCACCGGCUAACUACGUGCCAGCAGCCGUGGUAAUACGUAGGGUGCAAGCGUUAAUCGGAAUUACUGGGCGUAAAGCGUGCGCAGGCGGUUCGGAAAGAAAGAUGUGAAAUCCCAGAGCCCAACUUUGGAACUGCAUUUUUAACUACCGGGCUAGAGUGUGUCUGAGGAAGGUGGAAUUCCGCGUGUAGCAGUGAAAUGCGUAGAUAUGCGGAGGAACACCGAUUGCGAAGGCAACCUCCUGGGAUAACACUGACGCUCAUGCACGAAAGCGUGGGGAGCAAACAGG